UACUGUCAUUCCAUGGAUAUUUGUCACAGGGAUCGGAAACUGGAAAAGACGCUCUUUGGACGGAAGUGCAACACCACGUCUUAAAAUUUGUGACUUUGGAGACUCCAAGAUUUAUGAUUUUCUUGUUGAAAUAAGACAUUUUUUUGGUUGAUAUGCAAAUCAAUUCCUAACUAAUGUAAGGGUGCAUGUAGAGAUCUGAAAUUCUAAAUGUACUAAAGCGCCUGCACUGUUCAUUCUUCUGUUCAUGUGAGGUGAAAGGACGGUUGUGGCCUCGAGUGGUUUUGUAGAUAUAAAAACAGCCCGAGGUGUGUUCGGGAGACUGUAGCUAUCCAGCUCUGAGAUGCAGGCGUGGCCAUCAAGCUGUCCGAUAGAAGCGUAGCAUCAGAUGCGAGUAUCGACCACAUCAAUCAGGUUUUCUAUGCUUAUUUCCCAGAUUAGAGAUUUUCAAUUUUUGAUUUGAUUUGGUGUCAUGACAUCGUAGGUUUCAAGAUUGUGGUGGACUUGGGGGAGGGUUUGGGUUUGUUUCCGGAGAGGUGGUUUUUCAAUUUCUGCAUUGAGUAUAGAGUAUAAACUGUGCAUCGAGUUAGAAUUGCGCUGGGAGAAAUAGAGGCGCCUCUUCUUAAUAUCCAGACUUACUGGAAGGAUAUGCACUGAGCAUCAAGGGAAGAGCAUUAGAAAGGGGUAGGGUUGAAGGAGCUUUUGGUCUCUUCUGCAUCUGCAGAGACUGUGUGCAUAUUAUCAAAAUAAACUUAGCUCAUCAAAACGCAGUUUUCAAAAGGCUUCCUAAAACUGAUCCAUCUACCUUUUGAAGGGAGCUCCAAGGGGAAGGAGACUACAAUCAGAGACCAGGUUUCAGUGCUAUGAACUUGCAACCAUGAAAUACUUUGGAUAUUACCCUGCAUUGACACCUGACGAGGUCAAGGAACGGGUAGCACUAGCAAGGAAGGCACAAAAAACAUCGGCAAAGAUCAAGCAAAGAUGCAUAUGUUUCUUUGGAUUACUCUCAAGUCUCAAGUAUAUAAUAGAACACUCAUACCUUAUAUGUGAGUUCAGUCAGAAAGAAAACAAUUGAUACAUUUAUACUAUCUGCUGCGAAGCGCGGGCUCUGUAACUAGUAUAUACUAAACAGAUUAUCUCACAAUUCGAUGAACAAAUCAAAUAUAUAUGGUGUUAGUGCUCCACACUUGCAACA
This is a long non-coding RNA of Rosa rugosa (rugosa rose), 1192 nucleotides long. RefSeq lists it as uncharacterized. The record is from RefSeq and is a predicted model, not a curated record. The transcript has 6 exons. NCBI's taxonomy places the organism in Eukaryota, Viridiplantae, Streptophyta, Magnoliopsida, Rosales, Rosaceae.